Molecule: ribosomal RNA, 253 nt
Filed under: uncultured bacterium
Lineage: Bacteria
Description: partial 16S ribosomal RNA
Rfam family: Bacterial small subunit ribosomal RNA
Source: RNAcentral
UCCGUAGGUCCCGAACGUUGCGCGAAUUUACUGGGCGUAAAGGGUCCGUAGGCGGUUUAGCAAGUGGUUGGUGAAAUUUCACGGCUCAACCGUGAAACUGCCUUCCAAACUGCUAAACUUGAGGCAGGGAGAGGUCGGCGGAAUUCCCGGUGUAGAGGUGAAAUUCGUAGAUAUUCGCAGGAACACCAGUGGCGAAGGCGACUCGCUGGGACAUUGCUGACGCUGAGACGCGAAAGCGUGGGGAGAAAACAGG